RNAcentral lists this ribosomal RNA (640 nucleotides) under uncultured Actinomycetes bacterium. RNAcentral describes it as "bacterial SSU rRNA". It matches the Rfam family "Bacterial small subunit ribosomal RNA", at positions 772 to 1411 of the family's 1533-position model. The record is from RNAcentral. Lineage: Bacteria; Bacillati; Actinomycetota; Actinomycetes.
ACAGGAUUAGAUAGCCUGGUAGUCCACGCCGUAAACGGUGGGUGCUAGUUUUGGGUCACAUUCCACGUGAUCCGUGACGAAGUUAACACAUUAAGCACCCCGCCUGGGGAGUACGGUCGCAAGACUAAAACUCAAAGGAAUUGACGGGGGCCCGCGCAAGCGGCGGAGCAUGCGGAUUAAUUCGAUGCAACGCGAAGAACCUUACCAAGGCUUGACAUAUACAGGAAAAGCGUAGAAAUACGCUCCCCGCAAGGUCUGUAUACAGGUGGUGCAUGGUUGUCGUCAGCUCGUGUCGUGAGAUGUUGGGUUAAGUCCCGCAACGAGCGCAACCCUCGUCCUAUGUUGCCAGCACGUAAUGGUGGGAACUCAUGGGAGACUGCCGGGGUCAACUCGGAGGAAGGUGGGGAUGACGUCAAAUCAUCAUGCCCCUUAUGUCUUGGGCUUCACGCAUGCUACAAUGGCCAGUACAAAGGGCUGCGAUACCGCAAGGUGGAGCGAAUCCCAUAAAGCUGGUCUCAGUUCGGAUUGAGGUCUGCAACUCGACCUCAUGAAGUCGGAGUCGCUAGUAAUCGUAGAUCAGCAACGCUACGGUGAAUACGUUCCCGGGCCUUGUACACACCGCCCGUCAAGUCACGAAAGU